Molecule: ribosomal RNA, 440 nt
Filed under: uncultured bacterium
Lineage: Bacteria
Description: bacterial SSU rRNA
Rfam family: Bacterial small subunit ribosomal RNA
Source: RNAcentral
CCUACGGGGGGCUGCAGUCGAGAAUCUUCCGCAAUGGGCGCAAGCCUGACGGAGCGACGCCGCGUGGAGGACGAAGGCCUUCGGGUUGUAAACUCCUGUCACGAGUUAAGAAGGUUGGCCUGCGAACAGCGGGUCGGCUUGACGUAAGCUCGAGAGGAAGCACUGGCUAACUCUGUGCCAGCAGCCGCGGUAAUACAGAGAGUGCAAACGUUGUUCGGAAUUACUGGGCUUAAAGCGCACGUAGGCGGCGUCGUAAGUGUCGGGUGAAAUCCCACGGCUCACCCGUGGAACUGCCCGGCAUACUGCGGUGCUGGAGUGUGGUAGGGGAGAGCGGAACUCCUGGUGGAGCGGUGAAAUGCGUAGAUAUCAGGAGGAACACCGGUGGCGAAGGCGGCUCUCUGGUCCACAACUGACGCUGAGGUGCGAAAGCUAGGGGAGCA